This 448-nucleotide ribosomal RNA is filed under the name uncultured bacterium. RNAcentral's name for it is "bacterial SSU rRNA". It matches the Rfam family "Bacterial small subunit ribosomal RNA", at positions 335 to 799 of the family's 1533-position model. The record is from RNAcentral.
ACUCCUACGGGAGGCAGCAGUGGGGAAUCUUGGACAAUGGGGGCAACCCUGAUCCAGCCAUGCCGCGUGAGUGAUGAAGGCCUUAGGGUCGUAAAGCUCUUUCGCCUGUGAUGAUAAUGACAGUAGCAGGUAAAGAAACCCCGGCUAACUCCGUGCCAGCAGCCGCGGUAAUACGGAGGGGUUAGCGUUGUUCGGAAUUACUGGGGCGUAAAGCGCGCGUAGGCGGAUUAGUCAGUUAGAGGUGAAAUCCCAGGGCUCAACCCUGGAACUGCCUUUAAUACUGCUAGUCUUGAGUUCGAGAGAGGUGAGUGGAAUUCCGAGUGUAGAGGUGAAAUUCGUAGAUAUUCGGAGGAACACCAGUGGCGAAGGCGGCUCACUGGCUCGAUACUGACGCUGAGGUGCGAAAGUGUGGGGAGCAAACAGGAUUAGAUACCCUGGUAGGAUAGCG